GGAUUAGAUACCCUGGUAGUCCACGCCGUAAACGAUGAUCACUCGCUGUUGGCAACACAUAGUCAGCGGCCAAGCGAAAGCAUUAAGUGAUCCACCUGGGGAGUACGCCGGCAACGGUGAAACUCAAAGGAAUUGACGGGGGCCCGCACAAGCGGUGGAACAUGUGGUUUAAUUCGAUGAUACGCGAGGAACCUUACCUGGGCUUAAAUGUAUAGUGCAUGAGUGGGAAACCAUUCUUUUCUUCGGAACUCUUUACAAGGUGCUGCAUGGUUGUCGUCAGCUCGUGUCG
This 289-nucleotide ribosomal RNA is filed under the name uncultured bacterium. RNAcentral's name for it is "partial 16S ribosomal RNA". It matches the Rfam family "Bacterial small subunit ribosomal RNA", at positions 775 to 1067 of the family's 1533-position model. The record is from RNAcentral.